CUACGGGAUGCAGCAGUCGAGAAUCUUCCGCAAUGGGCGAAAGCCUGACGGAGCGACGCCGCGUGCGGGAUGAAGGCCUUCGGGUUGUAAACCGCUGUCAGUGGGGAGGAAAUUACUUCGGUAUUGGCCGAUCCGCAGAGGAAGCGCAGGCUAAGUUCGUGCCAGCAGCGCGGUAACACGAACUGCGCAAACGUUAUUCGGAAUCACUGGGCUUAAAGAGUUCGUAGGCGGCCAAGUCAGUCGGGUGUGAAAUCCCUCGGCUCAACCGAGGAACUGCGCCCGAUACUGCUUGGCUUGAGUAAGUUAGAGGUGAGCGGAACUGAUGGUGGAGCGGUGAGAUGCGUUGAUAUCAUCAGGAACACCGGUGGCGAAAGCGGCUCACUGGAGCUUUUCUGACGCUGAGGAACGAAAGCUAGGGGAGCGAACGGGAUUAGAUACCCGCGUAGUC
Molecule: ribosomal RNA, 448 nt
Filed under: uncultured bacterium
Lineage: Bacteria
Description: partial 16S ribosomal RNA
Rfam family: Bacterial small subunit ribosomal RNA
Source: RNAcentral